CAAAGUACUGUUGUGGAGACAACAACAGAGCUUCCACCUCCUGUGCAUCCCUUGGCGGGUCAGGUUCAGCAAGGGGUACCUGUGAAGCUGAGGAUGUGCCUAAAUUAGACUUCCAUAGGCAAACCCCUGUUUGUUGCACCAAAGCAACCUCCCCUCCAUUCAGAAGAUAAUGCUGACAGUUUUACCCUGAGAUAUUCUUUCUUCUCAAACACCUUUUUUUUUUUUUUUUUUUUUUUUGAG
RNAcentral lists this long non-coding RNA (240 nucleotides) under Homo sapiens (human). RNAcentral describes it as "HSALNT0046458". The record is from RNAcentral. Lineage: Eukaryota; Metazoa; Chordata; Mammalia; Primates; Hominidae.